RNAcentral lists this long non-coding RNA (773 nucleotides) under Homo sapiens (human). RNAcentral's name for it is "non-protein coding FBXO3-DT:14". Lineage: Eukaryota; Metazoa; Chordata; Mammalia; Primates; Hominidae. The record is from RNAcentral.
GGGCCAGCCCCGCCCUCAGGGUGGGCUGAGGUGCGGCUCCCUGGAGACCCCGCCCGCUAGCCGGGAGCCAGCGGCGCAGUGCGAGUUCAGCCCGCUUUCUUCGCGCUCCGCGUCAAAUCUCUCCAGCUCUGUUCUCGCAUCCCGGGUUUAGAUCCCGCAGAGUUAAGUAUCCCGCGUGUGAAGGGAUGAACUGAGACUCCCAGAGGGCAUAACUGAUGGAGGCACGAAGAUGUCUGCUCUUCAGCUUUGCCAAGGUGAUAUUAAAAUGAGAGUGGGGGAAGUAUAAUGGGUCCAUACAUCACUUGCCUGAUUUCUUCUUUUCCAUUGCUUUUCCAAAGGUAGUAUGGUGUAAGGGGCUUUGGGGAAUCCAGACAGACCUGGACUUCACACGCCCGUCAUUUAUUUCACUACUAGUGAAAUGCUGGCGUAGUUACGCCUAAGUUCUCUGAGACUGUCCCUCAUCUCUAAAACCACCCCUCCUCUGGUGAACUAAGGAUGGCGAUAACGCUUUAUGUAAAGUGCCUGGCCAGAUACUCAAUAAAUGUUAAUUUUCCAAGCUUAUACAUGCAUCAGUCACUAAGUUCUCCAAACAUUUCCAUAUCCUGGAGAAAGUUUCUCUCAAUUAUUUGGAAGAGUGGAAGUGAUAUGCCCCGCCCCAAAAAAAUCCAUUUCCUCCAUUCUUCAUACCAUUAAUGCCUUCUAUUUAUGGUUUUGCUUAAUAGUUAUAACCCCUGCCACCCAGCCAACAAAACAGAACAACAGCAACAAAAAAC